RNAcentral lists this ribosomal RNA (468 nucleotides) under uncultured bacterium. Its description in RNAcentral is "partial 16S ribosomal RNA". It matches the Rfam family "Bacterial small subunit ribosomal RNA", at positions 28 to 523 of the family's 1533-position model. The record is from RNAcentral.
GAUGAACGCUGGCGGCGUGCCUAACACAUGCAAGUCGAGCGAUUUACUUCGGUAAAGAGCGGCGGACGGGUGAGUAACGCGUGGGUAACCUGCCCUGUACACACGGAUAACAUACCGAAAGGUAUGCUAAUACGAGAUAAUAUGCUUUUAUCGCAUGGUAGAAGUAUCAAAGCUCCGGCGGUACAGGAUGGACCCGCGUCUGAUUAGCUAGUUGGUAAGGUAACGGCUUACCAAGGCGACGAUCAGUAGCCGACCUGAGAGGGUGAUCGGCCACAUUGGAACUGAGACACGGUCCAAACUCCUACGGGAGGCAGCAGUGGGGAAUAUUGCACAAUGGGCGAAAGCCUGAUGCAGCAACGCCGCGUGAGCGAUGAAGGCCUUCGGGUCGUAAAGCUCUGUCCUCAAGGAAGAUAAUGACGGUACUUGAGGAGGAAGCCCCGGCUAACUACGUGCCAGCAGCCGCGGUAA